Molecule: non-coding RNA, 595 nt
Organism: Pelobates cultripes (western spadefoot toad)
Lineage: Eukaryota; Metazoa; Chordata; Amphibia; Anura; Pelobatidae
Source: the annotation of a GenBank genome assembly
GGCGAACCAGUGCAAUCCAUUUGUGGAUUUCAAGGCGUUUACCAGAUUUCUAUCCUGUGAGUGCAAUCUUACACAUUGCGUGUUAGUUGUAUAUACUGUACAUCACUAUGUGCUGUUUGUUUUUUAUAUAGUGAACUCUACCUUUGAUUACCGUAUGUGGAUGGACGAAAGAUCUACUCAUGUACAUCAACUAGUUAAGUGCAAAAAACUAAUACCGUUUCCAGACAUUAAAGCUAAAUUUAACCUAACAAAUAGAACGACCUUCUAUCUACAACUUAAGUCCCUACUGACCAAAUACAACCAACAGGAGCUCACUAUGGUCCCCUUAUCGAAAUUUGAAACUGCAUGCCUAGCCUCAACUACACCCAAAAAAUCCUUGCCUUCGUAUGCAAUCUUCUAAACCAACCCAACUCCUGAGAUUCUGAUAAAGAACGCGGCAAACAGACCUGAAGCGUACAUUUGAUCAAUCCAAAUGGCAAGCAAUAUUCCAUACUUACAAAGGCAAAACACAAUGCACGUCCCACUUAGGUCUUAUGAGGAAAAUUUACUUCCGUUAAUACAUGGUACGGGCACGAUCGGUGAAAAUCUAUCCAGG